This is a long non-coding RNA of Macaca fascicularis (crab-eating macaque), 2521 nucleotides long. Lineage: Eukaryota; Metazoa; Chordata; Mammalia; Primates; Cercopithecidae. The record is from Ensembl.
GUGAUUUUGCUCACAACCAGGUUUUCAGCUGUCACCCCCCUGCUCUUUGUGCCAAGUUCUCUCGCCCAUUCUUUCUCUGGAGAGCUUCCUUCUGACCUCCAGACAUGCUCCCCGACUUGGCUAUACCCUUGGCAGAUCCGUCACACUCAGCACUUCGGGCCUGCAUCUGUCUUCUUCCUCUCCACACCUCGGGACACGCCAGGAUUUCUGUCCUGCGCUUCACAUCUCAGUGGAUUGCAACACUGCAGGCAACUGCCCAGAGAGCAAAGCGUUAUCGCAGGGGCCUUCUGUCCCCAACUUGCCAACACCGCUGACACUUUCUCUGAAAUAUAUUCACCCCUGCCCUCUAAGCAGCCUCUCUCCCCACCCCAGUCGUGCUGCCAAAACCUAGGUUCAGAUGCAGAGAGGCCGUGGCAGAUGCUUCCUCUUCCAAAGGACGCAGCUCCGAUGUGCCUUCUGGGAGGCACCACAGAGAUGCUUGGCACGCGUCUCCCACUGCCCUUCCUUCUCGACUUCACUGCAGGAAUCGCCCUGCAGUGGCACCACUUCUUCUCAAGUCUGACAGUAAGCCCCUGCAGACCAGAUGCCACAUCUUCCUACAGGCCCAGCCCAGUGAGAUUGGAUCUGAUUGUUUGUUGGUGUCAUUUAUGUCUGCAAUAGAUGUCUAAGAAUACAGCAUAAAGAUGCCCAGGUGCUCAGCCCUGCACUGAGCUGGAGAGAGGGCCGAAGGCUCACCUUUCAUGCAUUGCCAUGGACCUCGCAGCCACGGAGCAGGGAGGGGUUGACAACACCAGGAGCUCAGCCUGACACCUUCCACUCAUGUCUCCUCGGACCCUUCCUGUGCUAAUUAUGAUCCUUCUUGGAAAUAAAAAACCAAACAUUUGAUGGCAGAUACAGACAAUGAAAUCCUAUCCAGCUUUAAAAAGGAAGAGUAUUCUCACACAUGCUACAGUGUGGAUGAGCCUUGAGGACAUCAUGCUGAGUGAAAUCAGCCAGCUACAAAGGACAAACACUGUGGGAUUCCACUCAUAUGAGGUUCCUAGAAGAGGUGAAUUCAUAAAUACCAAAAACAGAAAGGUGGUUGCCAGGGGCUGGAGGGAGGGAGGGAGGGAGGGAGGAAGGAAUGGGGAGUGAAUGGGACAGAGUUUCAGUUGGGAAGAUGAGAAAGCUCUGGAGAUGGGUGGUGGUGAUGGUAGCACAACAAUGUGAACAUACUUAACACCACCAAACUGCUCAUUUAAUAAUGGUUAAAAUGGUAAAAUUUGUGUUAAGUAUUGUUUACCAUAAUAAAACUUAAAAAAAAAAAACAAAACAGAAACCAUUUGCACAGCCUCUCUUACAUGGAGGAAGGUGACCUGGAGGGGUAGAGAAACAUGGUUAGUGUCAUGGGAACACAAAGGAAUGUGACAAUCCUGUCUUUGAGGAGCUUGCAGGUUGUGGGGGGAGAGAUGGAUUUGACAACAAUAAUUGGGAAAACGCAGAUGCAGAAGGAGGGAAAGAGGGAGGCUGAAUCAGAACUCAGAGGAAGGAGCUGUUGGAGUCUGAGGGCUCAGGGCAGGAAUUCUGGAAGAAGAAAUGCUUGCCUGGGGCUCCCAAGGUGUAUUAGUCUGUUUUUAAACUGCUGAUAAAGACAUACCUGAAGCUGGGAAAUUUACAAAAGAAAGAGGUUUAUUGGACAUACAGUUCCAUGUGGCCUGGGAGGCCUCACAAUCAUGGUGGAAGGUGAAAGGCACGUCUCACAUGGUGGCAGACAAGAGAAGAGAACUUGUGCAGGGAAACUCUGCUUUUAAAAAUCAUCAUAUCCUGUGAGAGUUAUUCACUAUCAUGAGAACAGCACAGGAAAGACCAGUCCCUAUGAUUCAAUUACCUCCCACUGGGUGCCUCGCACAACACGUGUGAAUCCACAAUUAGAUUUUGGUGAGGACACAGCCAAACCAUAUCACAUGGUCUGGUGGGAUCUUGCAUUUUGAAGAGUGGGAGUGAGGCUGAGCUCAGCGAGGUGGGGACCAGAGCAAAACACUUGCUGGGGGCUGGUGCUGAGGCCCUGGAGGAGCAACCUAGGCAGAAGAGUGGGUUCCUAAGGAGAGCGGAGGGAGGUUGUGGUGGCUACAGACCAUGGGAGUCCUGACUUUUUUUUUUUUUUUAAUGAACUUUCUAAUUUUGGAAUAAAUUUAGAAUUACCAAAAAGUUGCAAAGAUAAUGCAGAGAGGUCCCAUAUACCCCUCAGCCAGUUUCCCCUAGGGUUAAGAUCUUACAUUACUGUGGUACAUUUGUACAACUAAUGAGCCAAUAUUGAUAUAUUCUUAACUAAAGUCCUCACGUUAUUAAGAUUUCAUUAGUUUUCCCUACUGUCCUUUUGCAGGAUUCCAUCCAGAAUACCCAACUUGCACCCAUCCAAAGUCGCAAAGCUAUCCCAGUACACUCCACAAUCAGUUUCCCUUAUUAUUAUGAAUAUCUCAUAUUAGGGUGGUACAUUUGUUACAAUUAAUGAACCAGUAUUGAUACAUUAUCAUUAAUAAAA